Drosophila virilis is the source of this 2100-nucleotide non-coding RNA. Lineage: Eukaryota; Metazoa; Arthropoda; Insecta; Diptera; Drosophilidae. The record is from RefSeq and is a predicted model, not a curated record.
AGCAACAGCACUAUAAUUUUGAAAUACACAUGUUAACAAUUUGAUUAACAUUUUGUGUAUCAAAUACUCAUGUUUAGAAUACAAUAUACUUUUUUUUUGUACCCUGAACCCAUUGAAAAUGCGAUAAAUGCCUUGCCCGUCUGACUGUCCGUCCAUCCGUCCGCCUAGUGGCCGCGCAGUAAAUUGUGUUUCCGAUGAUCGAUAACUUGAUCCGUUUCCAAGCCGUCCAUACAAAUCGAUAUCAAAACAGAGAACUAUGGUCACGAAACUUGACAUGUAGCUUCUUUAAUAGUAUACAUUCAUGUAUAUCAUUAAUUUUGUUCAUUUAUUAAAUGGUCGAAAAAAAACGAGUGUCUUCCUAAUUAUUCAAUAUGUCAAAUUAUAAAAGUUAGAUACUGAAAACCUAAUGAGAAUACACAAUUUUCUCAUAUCGUCACCAUUGGCCCGUCACCAAGCAAUGCGCCUUUUCACAGCUAUAUUUGUCAGUGGUGCUAUUAGAGCCUAAGCUAAGAAGAAGGGAGUUAGAAGAGUGUUAAGUAGAUAGUUUAAAAAGAUAGUAGUGGUAACACACCGAACGGAUGUAGGAAAAUGUAUGGCCUGUCCGGCAAGCUAUGAGCAGGGGGCAUAACUGGUAAUGGUGAGUGAGUUCCCGAAAGCAACGAGGGGUACAGAAACUUGGGACUAUUAUAAUUUUUGCAUAUCACGUGAAACGAAACACGAAACGUAGAGUAGUCUGUUGUGCACGUAGGUAUUAAUAAGGGGCGAACAUUCCUGGUAGGUCUAGACGGAUCAGAUAAUUGAAGACAAAGCACAAUCAACCUAUUUAGGAAGAGAAAAUCAAGGAUUUUCGUAGGGUUGGUUAUCGAUGGAAGAUUAAGAAGAAGAAGCCUGCUGAAGUAGGAUGGGAACCGAAGAUUAGGGUCCCAAUUUAAACCUCGUAAGGCUAAAAGCAGAAAUUGUUCCCGAACAAAUUUAAUACGAUCCUGACUAUUAUUAUACUGCGGAGGUCAGAUGCAAGAGCAAAGGAUAGGGCGAACAGUAACACUUUAGACCAUCAUUUAAUAGAUCUAACUACACUAUUUUCUCCAUCUAUGGUCCAUCGAUGGUAUCUAUGUAAAGUUUGAAACAGAGCUUAGAAUCAAAAAGAGCGCCUAGAUCCUUAACUGAUAGUAUACGUAUGAUACGUAAUAAUGGGGUAUUGUCGAUUGUAUAACUGCUAAGAAAAGGUGUGACACAACUGAAAGUAAUAACAAUUUAAAUGCAAUUGAAGACGAGAAUGAUGUAGAGGAUUAGUGCAUGAAAGAAUAAGUAGCACAUUGUCCGCAUAUGAUAGAACUGAGGGGAGAUAAUUUAUAAAAAGAGGAAAGGCCAAUAUGACUAUAUUGAGGAACACCACAAUUAACUUGAGCCUGUUUUGAGAUAGUCAGCCUCAGCUUUACUCUUUUGGUCGAAAUCCAAUGCAACAGACAAAAGAUUCAAGGAAUAAAUUAAAAAGCUUUAGCAAUGGACGAAGAAGGAAAGAACUACACUCCUUUAUUAGACAACUAGCAAUAUCGUCAGGCCGAGGAUAGUAAGAAGGUUCUUAAGAAUUUAUAGCUGAGAGGAGAGACGAAUGUGGAAUAAUAGAAUCAGGUAUAGAAAUAGAGGAAGGGUAAGAAUUAUUAUUAGGACAGGCUGAAGAGUAAGUUGAUUGGAAAAAAUUAGCAAAAGGUUAGCAGAAUCAGUCAUUUCUUGCUUUUUCCAUUCUGAGAGAAAAAGAAUAUGGCAAAAUUGAAGAAUUGCGGUUCAAGUUUACAAAAAUUGUAAAACUGUCUCAGAUUUUGGGGGAAUUGCAUUUUUGCAACAAGUUAGAUAAUUCUUAUAGCAUUGAGAAUUGAGAAGAAAGACGAUCGCCUUGGCUAUGGAAUAUUUGGUCAAGUCAGUACUCGAACCAGACCUAUUAAACUUUAUAUUAAUAUUUAGAUUUCAUUUUUUUAGGUUUGAUAGUGUGGGAGUACACCAGAAAAAGCAGCCGGAGGAAUUGAAUCGAGAAUAGACAUAUCUAAGAUGGAGUUCAGGAUGUUAUAAAAAGAGUUAAGAGGAGUAUUCAUAUCAACCGAG